GAUGAACGCUGGCGGCGUGGAUAAGGCAUGCAAGUCGAACGACCCUUGUGUUUACAUAAGGGGAGUGGCAAACGGGGUAGUAACAGGUAGGUACGUACUUGAAAGUCGUGAAUAACUCUGGGAAACCAGAACUAAUACACGAUAUCUCUACGGAGGAAAGAUUUAUCGCUUUCAAAACGGCCUGCUUAGUAUCAGCUAGUUGGUAGUGUAAUGGACUACCAAGGCUAUGACGCUUAGGGGAGGUGAGAGCCUGACCCCCACCAUUGGGACUGCGACACGGCCCAAACUCCUACGGGAGGCUGCAGUCGAGAAUCUUCCGCAAUGCACGAAAGUGUGACGGAGCGACGCCGCGUGAUGGACGAAGUCUUUCGGGAUGUAAACAUCUUUUGUACGUGAAGAAGUAUAUUGACAUUAGCGUAAGAAUAAGGGGCUCCUAAUCUCG
This 442-nucleotide ribosomal RNA is filed under the name uncultured bacterium. Its description in RNAcentral is "bacterial SSU rRNA". It matches the Rfam family "Bacterial small subunit ribosomal RNA", at positions 28 to 505 of the family's 1533-position model. The record is from RNAcentral.